GUUCGGUCUGGCUCAGAUUGAACGCUGGCGGGAUCGCCUUACAUUGCAGAGUCGAACUGACACGGACUUCAGUCUGGUGGCGAGUGGCGACAGGUGAAGUAAUGGCGUCGAACGUGCCUAGUAGCGGGGGAUAAUACGCGAAAGCGUAGCUAAUACCUAUCUACGCCCUUCGGGGAAAGCAGGGGACAUUACCCGGGCCUCCUUUUCUAUUAGAGCAGCCGAUAUCAGGAUUGGCUGGUUGGUGGAAUCUAACAGCUCACCAAGGCGUGACGAUCCAAUAGCUGGUUUGAGAGGACGACUGACUGGGACGGGAACCUGGCCGGAACUCCUGCAGGAGAGCAGCAGUGGGGAGUACCUGGACAGUGGAGGGGAAACCCUGAUCCAGCCAUCCCGCGUGUGCGAUGAAGACUGGGUUUAUAUGCAAAGCGCACGCGCAGAAGAAAACGGCACGGGAUAAUACCCCGUGCAACUGAUCUCACAGAAUAAGCACCGGCUAACUACCCCAGCAGCCGCGGUAAUACGUAGGGUGCAAGCGUUAAUCGGAAUUACUGGGCGUAAAGCGUGCGCAGGCGGUUCGGAAAAGAUGUGAAAUCCCAGAGCUUAACUUUGGAACUGCAUUUUUAACUACCGAGCUAGAGAGUGUCAGAGGUGGGAAUUACAUGUAACAGUGAAAUGCGUAGAUAUGCGGAGAGGGAACACCAUUAGCGAGGCAGCCUCCUGGGAUAACACUGACGCUCACGAAAGCGGGAGCAAACGGUUAGAUACGCAGUCCACGCCUAAACGAUGUCAACUAGCUGUUGGGGCCUUCGGGCCCUUGUGAUAGCGCAGCUAUGGCCGUUGACCGCACCAGGGUACAGUCGCAAGAUUAAAACUCAAAGGAAUUGACGGGGACCCGCACAAGCGGUGGAUGAUGUGGAUUAAUUCGAUGCAACGCGAAAAACCUUACCUACCCUUGACGUAUGCAGAUCCGAAGAGAUUUGGGAGUGCUCGCAAGAGAACCGGAACACAGGUGCUGCAUGGCUGUCGUCAGCUCGUGUCGUGAGAUGUUAGAUUCGUCAACGAGCGCAACCCUUGUCAUUAGUUGCUACGAAAGGGCACUCUAAUGAGACUGCCGGUGUCAAACCGGAGGAAGGUGGGAAUGACGUCAAGUCCUCAUGGCCCUUAUGGGUAGGGCUUCACACGUCAUACAAUGGUGCAGGACAGAGGGUGUAACCCGCGAGGGGGAGCCAAUCCCAGAGAAACCCGAUCGUAGUCCGGAUCGCAGUCUGCAACUCGACUGCGUGCGAAGUCGGAAUCGCCUAGUAAUCGCGGAUCAGCAUGUCGCGGUGAUGCGUUCCCGGGUCUUGUACACACCGCCCGUCACACCAUGGGAGGUGGGUUUUACCAAGUAGUUAGCCUAACCGUAAGGAGGGCGAUUACCACGGUAGGAUUCAUGACUGGGGUGAAGUCGUAACAAGGUAG
This 1461-nucleotide ribosomal RNA is filed under the name uncultured Bordetella sp. RNAcentral's name for it is "partial 16S-23S ribosomal RNA intergenic spacer". It matches the Rfam family "Bacterial small subunit ribosomal RNA". Lineage: Bacteria; Pseudomonadati; Pseudomonadota; Betaproteobacteria; Burkholderiales; Alcaligenaceae. The record is from RNAcentral.